RNAcentral lists this ribosomal RNA (267 nucleotides) under uncultured bacterium. RNAcentral's name for it is "partial 16S ribosomal RNA". It matches the Rfam family "Bacterial small subunit ribosomal RNA", at positions 89 to 354 of the family's 1533-position model. The record is from RNAcentral.
UGGCGACCGGCGCACGGGUGAGUAACGCGUAUCCAACCUGCCCUUUACUAUGGGACAGCCCGUCGAAAGGCGGAUUAAUACCGUAUGUUGUCAUGUUGAUGCAUAUUUUCAUGACCAAAGGCUUCGGCCGGUAAAGGAUGGGGAUGCGUCUGAUUAGCUUGCCGGCGGGGUAACGGCCCACCGGGGCGACGAUCAGUAGGGGUUCUGAGAGGAAGGUCCCCCACAUUAGAACUGAGACACGGUCCAAACUCCUACGGGAGGCAGCAG